Molecule: ribosomal RNA, 500 nt
Filed under: uncultured Halobacteriales archaeon
Lineage: Archaea; Methanobacteriati; Methanobacteriota; Halobacteria; Halobacteriales
Description: bacterial SSU rRNA
Rfam family: Archaeal small subunit ribosomal RNA
Source: RNAcentral
UUCCGGUUGAUCCUGCCGGAGACUACCGCUAUCGGAGUCCGAUUGAGCCAUGCUAGUCCACCGAUUCGUUCGGGGCGGAUAGCUGAGUAACACGUGGCUAACCUGCCCUGCGGACGGGGAUAACCUCGGGAAACUGAGGCUAAGCCCUGAUAGCUGAGGCCUUGUGGAAUUCAGGCCUCGGUUAAACGCCUUGUGCGCCGCAGGAUGGGGCCGCGGCUGAUUAUGUUGUUGGUGAGGUAACGGCUCACCAAGCCGAUAAUCAGUAGCAGCCGUGAGAGCGGGAGCUGCCAGUCGGCAUCUGAGACAAGAUGCCGGGCCCUACGGGGUGCAGCAGGCACGAAACCUUCACAAUGCACGCAAGUGCGAUGGGGGGACUCCGAGUGCGUUCUCCCCACAAGGGAGGACGCUUUUCUGCACUGUAAGGAGCUGCAGGAACAAGGGGUGGGCGACACUGCUGCCAGCCGCCGCGGUAAUAGCAGGACCCCGAGUGGUAGGCGUUG